RNAcentral lists this ribosomal RNA (377 nucleotides) under uncultured eukaryote. RNAcentral's name for it is "SSU rRNA". It matches the Rfam family "Eukaryotic small subunit ribosomal RNA", at positions 587 to 969 of the family's 1831-position model. The record is from RNAcentral.
AGCUCCAAUAGCGUAUAUUAAAGUUGUUGCAGUUAAAAAGCUCGUAGUUGGAUUUCGGAAUGGGCCAGUUGGUCCGCCUCACGGUGUGUUACUGGCUGGUCUGUUCUUCUUCGCAAAGACUGCGUGUGCUCUUUACCGAGUGUGCGUAGGAUUUACGACGUUUACUUUGAAAAAAUUAGAGUGUUCAAAGCAGGCCUACCGCUUGAAUACAUGAGCAUGGAAUAAUGGAAUAGGACUUUGGUCUUAUUUUGUUGGUUUCUAAGACCGAAGUAAUGAUUAAGAGGGACAGUUGGGGGCAUUCGUAUUUCGUUGUCAGAGGUGAAAUUCUUGGAUUUACGAAAGACGAACAACUGCGAAAGCAUUUGCCAAGAAUGUUU